CAUCACUACGCUAGAUGCAUAUCAAUAAGCGGAGGAAAAGAAACUAACAAGGAUUCCCCUAGUAACGGCGAGUGAAGCGGGAAGAGCUCAAAUUUGAAAUCUUAAAGGGUUUCCCUUUACGAAUUGUAGUUUAAAGAAGUGUUUUCUGUUGGAGUUUCGGUAAAAGUUCUUUGGAAUAGGACAUCAUAGAGGGUGAGAAUCCCGUAUUUGACCGUUACUUUCCAGCUGUGUGAUACACUUUCAAAGAGUCGGAUUGUUUGGGAAUGCAGUCCAAAAUGGGUGGUAAAUUUCAUCUAAAGCUAAAUAUUGGUGAGAGACCGAUAGCGAACAAGUACCGUGAGGGGAAGAUGAAAAGAACUUUGAAAAGAGAGUUAAACAGUACGUGAAAUUGUCAAAAGGGAAGCGUUUGACACCAGUGUUGUUUAGUUGAAAAUCAAUUCAAUAAUUUUUGAUUUUGAGUAGUAUUGACUUCAUCAGCUUGCUGCUUUCUUUUCCGAAAUUAUUGAAUGCACUUUUCAGUUAACAAGUCAACAUCAAUUUCUUUUGUUGUAAAAGGGUAAGAGGAAGGUGGCUUACGCUUCGGCGUAAGUGUUUAUAGCCUUUUACCUCUGCAAUCGGAGAGAUUGAGGACAGCAGCGUAGACUCCUUCGGGGUUAGAUACACUUGUGCUAAGCUAUAGCCUUGUAUAGACAACUUGUUGACUAUGCUCAGUCAUGUAGCUUACUCGCUUGUGCUAUUUUACCUACGCUUAGGAUGUUGAUAUGCAUGACUGAUAU
Molecule: ribosomal RNA, 776 nt
Filed under: uncultured Neocallimastigales
Lineage: Eukaryota; Fungi; Neocallimastigomycota; Neocallimastigomycetes; Neocallimastigales
Description: partial large subunit ribosomal RNA
Rfam family: Eukaryotic large subunit ribosomal RNA
Source: RNAcentral